UGAUUUCAAAGGUAUAAGGCA
Molecule: non-coding RNA, 21 nt
Filed under: Caenorhabditis elegans
Lineage: Eukaryota; Metazoa; Nematoda; Chromadorea; Rhabditida; Rhabditidae
Source: RNAcentral